CGAGUCGGCUGGGCGGUCGCGUCGGUGGGGGAGACCCUGCCGCCGAGGAACGUCCGGGCUCCACAGGGCAGGGUGGUCGUCAACAGCGACCCGGGGUGACCCGCGGGACAGUGCCACAGAGAACAGACCGCCAGUGCGUGCACUGGUAAGGGUGAAACGGCGGUGUAAGAGACCACCGCACACCGGGUGACCGGUGUGGCUCGGUAAACCCCACCCGGAGCAAGGUCGAAAAGGGACGGCGGUCCGCCGCCGUCCUGCGCAGGCGUUCGAGGGCUGCCCGCCCGAGCCUGCGGGUGGACCGCUCGAGCCUGUCGGCAACGGCAGGCCUAGAUGGAUGGCCGCUCAUCGGGACGCCGCGAGGCGCCCGGGGACAGAACCCGGCGUACAGGUCGACUCGUCCG
This is a non-coding RNA of Modestobacter sp., 401 nucleotides long. It matches the Rfam family "Bacterial RNase P class A". Rfam says of the family: Ribonuclease P (RNase P) is a ubiquitous endoribonuclease, found in archaea, bacteria and eukarya as well as chloroplasts and mitochondria. Its best characterised activity is the generation of mature 5'-ends of tRNAs by cleaving the 5'-leader elements of precursor-tRNAs. NCBI's taxonomy places the organism in Bacteria, Bacillati, Actinomycetota, Actinomycetes, Geodermatophilales, Geodermatophilaceae. The record is from Rfam.